GACGAACGCUGGCGGCGUGCUUAACACAUGCAAGUCGAACGGAAAGGCCUCUUUCGGGGGGUACUCGAGUGGCGAACGGGUGAGUAACACGUGAGUAACCUGCCCUUGACUUUGGGAUAACUUCAGGAAACUGGGGCUAAUACCGGAUAGGAGCUCCUGCUGCAUGGUGGGGGUUGGAAAGUUUCGGCGGUUGGGGAUGGACUCGCGGCUUAUCAGCUUGUUGGUGGGGUAGUGGCUUACCAAGGCUUUGACGGGUAGCCGGCCUGAGAGGGUGAGCGGCCACAUUGGGACUGAGAUACGGACCAGACUCCUACGGGAGGGAGCAGUGGGGAAUAUUGCACAAUGGGUGGAAGCCUGAUGCAGAAACGCCGUGGGCGGGAUGACGGCCUUCGGGUUGUAAACCGCUUUCGCUCAUGACGAAGCUUUGUGUGACGGUAGUGGGUAAAGAAGCACCGGCUAACUACGUG
RNAcentral lists this ribosomal RNA (467 nucleotides) under uncultured bacterium. RNAcentral's name for it is "partial 16S ribosomal RNA". It matches the Rfam family "Bacterial small subunit ribosomal RNA", at positions 28 to 507 of the family's 1533-position model. The record is from RNAcentral.